UACGAAGGGUGCAAGCGUUACUCGGAAUUACUGGGCGUAAAGCGUGCGUAGGUGGUUUGUUAAGUCUGAUGUGAAAGCCCUGGGCUCAACCUGGGAAUUGCAUUUGAGACUGCGUAGCUAGGGUGCGGAAGAGGGAAGCGGAAUUUCCGGUGUAGCGGUGAAAUGCGUAGAUAUCGGAAGGAACACCAGUGGCGAAAGCGGCUUCCUGGUCCAGCACCGACGUCAGGCACGAAAGCGUGGGGAGCAAACAGG
Molecule: ribosomal RNA, 252 nt
Filed under: uncultured bacterium
Lineage: Bacteria
Description: partial 16S ribosomal RNA
Rfam family: Bacterial small subunit ribosomal RNA
Source: RNAcentral